RNAcentral lists this ribosomal RNA (436 nucleotides) under uncultured bacterium. RNAcentral's name for it is "bacterial SSU rRNA". It matches the Rfam family "Bacterial small subunit ribosomal RNA", at positions 30 to 506 of the family's 1533-position model. The record is from RNAcentral.
UUGAACGCUGGCGGCAUGCUUUACACAUGCAAGUCGAACGGUAACAGGUUAAGCUGACGAGUGGCGGACGGGUGAGUAACACGUGGGAACCUGCCUUUUGGUUCGGGAUAACCGCGGGAAACUGCGGCUAAUACCGGAUACUCCCGUGAGGGGAAAGAUUUAUCGCCAGAAGAGGGGCCCGCGUCCGAUUAGGUAGUUGGUGAGGUAAUGGCUCACCAAGCCGACGAUCGGUAGCUGGUCUGAGAGGAUGAUCAGCCACACUGGGACUGAGAUACGGCCCAGACUCCUACGGGAGGCAGCAGUGGGGAAUAUUGGACAAUGGGGGCAACCCUGAUCCAGCAAUGCCGCGUGAGUGAUGAAGGCCUUAGGGUUGUAAAGCUCUUUUGCCAGGGAAGAUGAUGACUGUACCUGGAGAAUAAGCCCCGGCUAACUUCGU